RNAcentral lists this long non-coding RNA (12339 nucleotides) under Cucumis sativus (cucumber). RNAcentral describes it as "long non-coding RNA (CSAT_LNC001527)". Lineage: Eukaryota; Viridiplantae; Streptophyta; Magnoliopsida; Cucurbitales; Cucurbitaceae. The record is from RNAcentral.
CUCUCUUCGUAGGCUAAUGCAUUGGCCCUUUUUGACCCGUUUUGGGGCGAAAACAAAAACUGACUCCCGGGCAUAUUUUUUUCGGCCUUUAUGGGCAGAGAACUUUAAUACCGCUCGAAAUGAGGCCACCCAGUAGUUAGGUGUGAAUUUUCGAGACCUUUGGCACCGUUCUAAGAUGGGUCCUCUCUUCGUAGGCUAAUGCAUUGGCCCUUUUUGACCCGUUUUGGGGCGAAAACAAAAACUGACUCCCGGGCAUAUUUUUUUCGGCCUUUAUGGGCAGAGAACUUUAAUACCGCUCAAAAUGAGGCCACCCAGUAGUUAGGUGUGAAUUUUCGAGACCUUUGGCACCGUUCUAAGAUGGGUCCUCUCUUCGUAGGCUAAUGCAUUGGCCCUUUUUGACCCGUUUUGGGGCGAAAACAAAAACUGACUCCCGGGCAUAUUUUUUUCGGCCUUUAUGGGCAGAGAACUUUAAUGCCGCUCGGAAUGAGGCCACCCAGUAGUUAGGUGUGAAUUUUCGAGACCUUUGGCACCGUUCUAAGAUGGGUCCUCUCUUCGUAGGCUAAUGCAUUGGCCCUUUUUGACCCGUUUUGGGGCGAAAACAAAAACUGACUCCCGGGCAUAUUUUUUUUCGGCCUUUAUGGGCAGAGAACUUUAAUGCCGCUCGGAAUGAGGCCACCCAGUAGUUAGGUGUGAAUUUUCGAGACCUUUGGCACCGUUCUAAGAUGGGUCCUCUCUUCGUAGGCUAAUGCAUUGGCCCUUUUUGACCCGUUUUGGGGCGAAAACAAAAACUGACUCCCGGGCAUAUUUUUUUCGGCCUUUAUGGGCAGAGAACUUUAAUGCCGCUCAGAAUGAGGCCACCCAGUAGUUAGGUGUGAAUUUUCGAGACCUUUGGCACCGUUCUAAGAUGGGUCCUCUCUUCGUAGGCUAAUGCAUUGGCCCUUUUUGACCCGUUUUGGGGCGAAAACAAAAACUGACUCCCGGGCAUAUUUUUUUUCGGCCUUUAUGGGCAGAGAACUUUAAUGCCGCUCAGAAUGAGGCCACCCAGUAGUUAGGUGUGAAUUUUCGAGACCUUUGGCACCGUUCUAAGAUGGGUCCUCUCUUCGUAGGCUAAUGCAUUGGCCCUUUUUGACCCGUUUUGGGGCGAAAACAAAAACUGACUCCCGGGCAUAUUUUUUUCGGCCUUUAUGGGCAGAGAACUUUAAUGCCGCUCGGAAUGAGGCCACCCAGUAGUUAGGUGUGAAUUUUCGAGACCUUUGGCACCGUUCUAAGAUGGGUCCUCUCUUCGUAGGCUAAUGCAUUGGCCCUUUUUGACCCGUUUUGGGGCGAAAACAAAAACUGACUCCCGGGCAUAUUUUUUUCGGCCUUUAUGGGCAGAGAACUUUAAUGCCGCUCGGAAUGAGGCCACCCAGUAGUUAGGUGUGAAUUUUCGAGACCUUUGGCACCGUUCUAAGAUGGGUCCUCUCUUCGUAGGCUAAUGCAUUGGCCCUUUUUUGACCCGUUUUGGGGCGAAAACAAAAACUGACUCCCGGGCAUAUUUUUUUCGGCCUUUAUGGGCAGAGAACUUUAAUGCCGCUCAGAAUGAGGCCACCCAGUAGUUAGGUGUGAAUUUUCGAGACCUUUGGCACCGUUCUAAGAUGGGUCCUCUCUUCGUAGGCUAAUGCAUUGGCCCUUUUUGACCCGUUUUGGGGCGAAAACAAAAACUGACUCCCGGGCAUAUUUUUUUCGGCCUUUAUGGGCAGAGAACUUUAAUGCCGCUCAGAAUGAGGCCACCCAGUAGUUAGGUGUGAAUUUUCGAGACCUUUGGCACCGUUCUAAGAUGGGUCCUCUCUUCGUAGGCUAAUGCAUUGGCCCUUUUUGACCCGUUUUGGGGCGAAAACAAAAACUGACUCCCGGGCAUAUUUUUUUCGGCCUUUAUGGGCAGAGAACUUUAAUGCCGCUCAGAAUGAGGCCACCCAGUAGUUAGGUGUGAAUUUUCGAGACCUUUGGCACCGUUCUAAGAUGGGUCCUCUCUUCGUAGGCUAAUGCAUUGGCCCUUUUUGACCCGUUUUGGGGCGAAAACAAAAACUGACUCCCGGGCAUAUUUUUUUCGGCCUUUAUGGGCAGAGAACUUUAAUGCCGCUCAGAAUGAGGCCACCCAGUAGUUAGGUGUGAAUUUUCGAGACCUUUGGCACCGUUCUAAGAUGGGUCCUCUCUUCGUAGGCUAAUGCAUUGGCCCUUUUUGACCCGUUUUGGGGCGAAAACAAAAACUGACUCCCGGGCAUAUUUUUUUUCGGCCUUUAUGGGCAGAGAACUUUAAUGCCGCUCAGAAUGAGGCCACCCAGUAGUUAGGUGUGAAUUUUCGAGACCUUUGGCACCGUUCUAAGAUGGGUCCUCUCUUCGUAGGCUAAUGCAUUGGCCCUUUUUGACCCGUUUUGGGGCGAAAACAAAAACUGACUCCCGGGCAUAUUUUUUUCGGCCUUUAUGGGCAGAGAACUUUAAUGCCGCUCAGAAUGAGGCCACCCAGUAGUUAGGUGUGAAUUUUCGAGACCUCUGGCACCGUUCUAAGAUGGGUCCUCUCUUCGUAGGCUAAUGCAUUGGCCCUUUUUGACCCGUUUUGGGGCGAAAACAAAAACUGACUCCCGGGCAUAUUUUUUUCGGCCUUUAUGGGCAGAGAACUUUAAUGCCGCUCAGAAUGAGGCCACCCAGUAGUUAGGUGUGAAUUUUCGAGACCUCUGGCACCGUUCUAAGAUGGGUCCUCUCUUCGUAGGCUAAUGCAUUGGCCCUUUUUGACCCGUUUUGGGGCGAAAACAAAAACUGACUCCCGGGCAUAUUUUUUUCGGCCUUUAUGGGCAGAGAACUUUAAUGCCGCUCAGAAUGAGGCCACCCAGUAGUUAGGUGUGAAUUUUCGAGACCUCUGGCACCGUUCUAAGAUGGGUCCUCUCUUCGUAGGCUAAUGCAUUGGCCCUUUUUGACCCGUUUUGGGGCGAAAACAAAAACUGACUCCCGGGCAUAUUUUUUUCGGCCUUUAUGGGCAGAGAACUUUAAUGCCGCUCAGAAUGAGGCCACCCAGUAGUUAGGUGUGAAUUUUCGAGACCUCUGGCACCGUUCUAAGAUGGGUCCUCUCUUCGUAGGCUAAUGCAUUGGCCCUUUUUGACCCGUUUUGGGGCGAAAACAAAAACUGACUCCCGGGCAUAUUUUUUUCGGCCUUUAUGGGCAGAGAACUUUAAUGCCGCUCAGAAUGAGGCCACCCAGUAGUUAGGUGUGAAUUUUCGAGACCUCUGGCACCGUUCUAAGAUGGGUCCUCUCUUCGUAGGCUAAUGCAUUGGCCCUUUUUGACCCGUUUUGGGGCGAAAACAAAAACUGACUCCCGGGCAUAUUUUUUUCGGCCUUUAUGGGCAGAGAACUUUAAUGCCGCUCAGAAUGAGGCCACCCAGUAGUUAGGUGUGAAUUUUCGAGACCUCUGGCACCGUUCUAAGAUGGGUCCUCUCUUCGUAGGCUAAUGCAUUGGCCCUUUUUGACCCGUUUUGGGGCGAAAACAAAAACUGACUCCCGGGCAUAUUUUUUUCGGCCUUUAUGGGCAGAGAACUUUAAUGCCGCUCAGAAUGAGGCCACCCAGUAGUUAGGUGUGAAUUUUCGAGACCUCUGGCACCGUUCUAAGAUGGGUCCUCUCUUCGUAGGCUAAUGCAUUGGCCCUUUUUGACCCGUUUUGGGGCGAAAACAAAAACUGACUCCCGGGCAUAUUUUUUUCGGCCUUUAUGGGCAGAGAACUUUAAUGCCGCUCAGAAUGAGGCCACCCAGUAGUUAGGUGUGAAUUUUCGAGACCUCUGGCACCGUUCUAAGAUGGGUCCUCUCUUCGUAGGCUAAUGCAUUGGCCCUUUUUGACCCGUUUUGGGGCGAAAACAAAAACUGACUCCCGGGCAUAUUUUUUUCGGCCUUUAUGGGCAGAGAACUUUAAUGCCGCUCAGAAUGAGGCCACCCAGUAGUUAGGUGUGAAUUUUCGAGACCUCUGGCACCGUUCUAAGAUGGGUCCUCUCUUCGUAGGCUAAUGCAUUGGCCCUUUUUGACCCGUUUUGGGGCGAAAACAAAAACUGACUCCCGGGCAUAUUUUUUUCGGCCUUUUAUGGGCAGAGAACUUUAAUGCCGCUCAGAAUGAGGCCACCCAGUAGUUAGGUGUGAAUUUUCGAGACCUCUGGCACCGUUCUAAGAUGGGUCCUCUCUUCGUAGGCUAAUGCAUUGGCCCUUUUUGACCCGUUUUGGGGCGAAAACAAAAACUGACUCCCGGGCAUAUUUUUUUCGGCCUUUAUGGGCAGAGAACUUUAAUGCCGCUCAGAAUGAGGCCACCCAGUAGUUAGGUGUGAAUUUUCGAGACCUCUGGCACCGUUCUAAGAUGGGUCCUCUCUUCGUAGGCUAAUGCAUUGGCCCUUUUUGACCCGUUUUGGGGCGAAAACAAAAACUGACUCCCGGGCAUAUUUUUUUCGGCCUUUAUGGGCAGAGAACUUUAAUGCCGCUCAGAAUGAGGCCACCCAGUAGUUAGGUGUGAAUUUUCGAGACCUCUGGCACCGUUCUAAGAUGGGUCCUCUCUUCGUAGGCUAAUGCAUUGGCCCUUUUUGACCCGUUUUGGGGCGAAAACAAAAACUGACUCCCGGGCAUAUUUUUUUCGGCCUUUAUGGGCAGAGAACUUUAAUGCCGCUCAGAAUGAGGCCACCCAGUAGUUAGGUGUGAAUUUUCGAGACCUCUGGCACCGUUCUAAGAUGGGUCCUCUCUUCGUAGGCUAAUGCAUUGGCCCUUUUUGACCCGUUUUGGGGCGAAAACAAAAACUGACUCCCGGGCAUAUUUUUUUCGGCCUUUAUGGGCAGAGAACUUUAAUGCCGCUCAGAAUGAGGCCACCCAGUAGUUAGGUGUGAAUUUUCGAGACCUCUGGCACCGUUCUAAGAUGGGUCCUCUCUUCGUAGGCUAAUGCAUUGGCCCUUUUUGACCCGUUUUGGGGCGAAAAAAAAAAACUGACUCCCGGGCAUAUUUUUUUCGGCCUUUAUGGGCAGAGAACUUUAAUGCCGCUCAGAAUGAGGCCACCCAGUAGUUAGGUGUGAAUUUUCGAGACCUCUGGCACCGUUCUAAGAUGGGUCCUCUCUUCGUAGGCUAAUGCAUUGGCCCUUUUUGACCCGUUUUGGGGCGAAAACAAAAACUGACUCCCGGGCAUAUUUUUUUCGGCCUUUAUGGGCAGAGAACUUUAAUGCCGCUCAGAAUGAGGCCACCCAGUAGUUAGGUGUGAAUUUUCGAGACCUCUGGCACCGUUCUAAGAUGGGUCCUCUCUUCGUAGGCUAAUGCAUUGGCCCUUUUUGACCCGUUUUGGGGCGAAAACAAAAACUGACUCCCGGGCAUAUUUUUUUCGGCCUUUAUGGGCAGAGAACUUUAAUGCCGCUCAGAAUGAGGCCACCCAGUAGUUAGGUGUGAAUUUUCGAGACCUCUGGCACCGUUCUAAGAUGGGUCCUCUCUUCGUAGGCUAAUGCAUUGGCCCUUUUUGACCCGUUUUGGGGCGAAAACAAAAACUGACUCCCGGGCAUAUUUUUUUCGGCCUUUAUGGGCAGAGAACUUUAAUGCCGCUCAGAAUGAGGCCACCCAGUAGUUAGGUGUGAAUUUUCGAGACCUCUGGCACCGUUCUAAGAUGGGUCCUCUCUUCGUAGGCUAAUGCAUUGGCCCUUUUUGACCCGUUUUGGGGCGAAAACAAAAACUGACUCCCGGGCAUAUUUUUUUCGGCCUUUAUGGGCAGAGAACUUUAAUGCCGCUCAGAAUGAGGCCACCCAGUAGUUAGGUGUGAAUUUUCGAGACCUCUGGCACCGUUCUAAGAUGGGUCCUCUCUUCGUAGGCUAAUGCAUUGGCCCUUUUUGACCCGUUUUGGGGCGAAAACAAAAACUGACUCCCGGGCAUAUUUUUUUCGGCCUUUAUGGGCAGAGAACUUUAAUGCCGCUCAGAAUGAGGCCACCCAGUAGUUAGGUGUGAAUUUUCGAGACCUCUGGCACCGUUCUAAGAUGGGUCCUCUCUUCGUAGGCUAAUGCAUUGGCCCUUUUUGACCCGUUUUGGGGCGAAAACAAAAACUGACUCCCGGGCAUAUUUUUUUCGGCCUUUAUGGGCAGAGAACUUUAAUACCGCUCAGAAUGAGGCCACCCAGUAGUUAGGUGUGAAUUUUCGAGACCUCUGGCACCGUUCUAAGAUGGGUCCUCUCUUCGUAGGCUAAUGCAUUGGCCCUUUUUGACCCGUUUUGGGGCGAAAACAAAAACUGACUCCCGGGCAUAUUUUUUUCGGCCUUUAUGGGCAGAGAACUUUAAUGCCGCUCAGAAUGAGGCCACCCAGUAGUUAGGUGUGAAUUUUCGAGACCUCUGGCACCGUUCUAAGAUGGGUCCUCUCUUCGUAGGCUAAUGCAUUGGCCCUUUUUGACCCGUUUUGGGGCGAAAACAAAAACUGACUCCCGGGCAUAUUUUUUUCGGCCUUUAUGGGCAGAGAACUUUAAUACCGCUCAGAAUGAGGCCACCCAGUAGUUAGGUGUGAAUUUUCGAGACCUCUGGCACCGUUCUAAGAUGGGUCCUCUCUUCGUAGGCUAAUGCAUUGGCCCUUUUUGACCCGUUUUGGGGCGAAAACAAAAACUGACUCCCGGGCAUAUUUUUUUCGGCCUUUAUGGGCAGAGAACUUUAAUACCGCUCAGAAUGAGGCCACCCAGUAGUUAGGUGUGAAUUUUCGAGACCUCUGGCACCGUUCUAAGAUGGGUCCUCUCUUCGUAGGCUAAUGCAUUGGCCCUUUUUGACCCGUUUUGGGGCGAAAACAAAAACUGACUCCCGGGCAUAUUUUUUUCGGCCUUUAUGGGCAGAGAACUUUAAUACCGCUCAGAAUGAGGCCACCCAGUAGUUAGGUGUGAAUUUUCGAGACCUCUGGCACCGUUCUAAGAUGGGUCCUCUCUUCGUAGGCUAAUGCAUUGGCCCUUUUUGACCCGUUUUGGGGCGAAAACAAAAACUGACUCCCGGGCAUAUUUUUUUCGGCCUUUAUGGGCAGAGAACUUUAAUACCGCUCAGAAUGAGGCCACCCAGUAGUUAGGUGUGAAUUUUCGAGACCUCUGGCACCGUUCUAAGAUGGGUCCUCUCUUCGUAGGCUAAUGCAUUGGCCCUUUUUGACCCGUUUUGGGGCGAAAACAAAAACUGACUCCCGGGCAUAUUUUUUUCGGCCUUUAUGGGCAGAGAACUUUAAUGCCGCUCAGAAUGAGGCCACCCAGUAGUUAGGUGUGAAUUUUCGAGACCUCUGGCACCGUUCUAAGAUGGGUCCUCUCUUCGUAGGCUAAUGCAUUGGCCCUUUUUGACCCGUUUUGGGGCGAAAACAAAAACUGACUCCCGGGCAUAUUUUUUUCGGCCUUUAUGGGCAGAGAACUUUAAUACCGCUCAGAAUGAGGCCACCCAGUAGUUAGGUGUGAAUUUUCGAGACCUCUGGCACCGUUCUAAGAUGGGUCCUCUCUUCGUAGGCUAAUGCAUUGGCCCUUUUUGACCCGUUUUGGGGCGAAAACAAAAACUGACUCCCGGGCAUAUUUUUUUCGGCCUUUAUGGGCAGAGAACUUUAAUGCCGCUCAGAAUGAGGCCACCCAGUAGUUAGGUGUGAAUUUUCGAGACCUCUGGCACCGUUCUAAGAUGGGUCCUCUCUUCGUAGGCUAAUGCAUUGGCCCUUUUUGACCCGUUUUGGGGCGAAAACAAAAACUGACUCCCGGGCAUAUUUUUUUCGGCCUUUAUGGGCAGAGAACUUUAAUGCCGCUCAGAAUGAGGCCACCCAGUAGUUAGGUGUGAAUUUUCGAGACCUCUGGCACCGUUCUAAGAUGGGUCCUCUCUUCGUAGGCUAAUGCAUUGGCCCUUUUUGACCCGUUUUGGGGCGAAAACAAAAACUGACUCCCGGGCAUAUUUUUUUCGGCCUUUAUGGGCAGAGAACUUUAAUACCGCUCAGAAUGAGGCCACCCAGUAGUUAGGUGUGAAUUUUCGAGACCUCUGGCACCGUUCUAAGAUGGGUCCUCUCUUCGUAGGCUAAUGCAUUGGCCCUUUUUGACCCGUUUUGGGGCGAAAACAAAAACUGACUCCCGGGCAUAUUUUUUUCGGCCUUUAUGGGCAGAGAACUUUAAUGCCGCUCAGAAUGAGGCCACCCAGUAGUUAGGUGUGAAUUUUCGAGACCUCUGGCACCGUUCUAAGAUGGGUCCUCUCUUCGUAGGCUAAUGCAUUGGCCCUUUUUGACCCGUUUUGGGGCGAAAACAAAAACUGACUCCCGGGCAUAUUUUUUUCGGCCUUUAUGGGCAGAGAACUUUAAUGCCGCUCAGAAUGAGGCCACCCAGUAGUUAGGUGUGAAUUUUCGAGACCUCUGGCACCGUUCUAAGAUGGGUCCUCUCUUCGUAGGCUAAUGCAUUGGCCCUUUUUGACCCGUUUUGGGGCGAAAACAAAAACUGACUCCCGGGCAUAUUUUUUUCGGCCUUUAUGGGCAGAGAACUUUAAUGCCGCUCAGAAUGAGGCCACCCAGUAGUUAGGUGUGAAUUUUCGAGACCUCUGGCACCGUUCUAAGAUGGGUCCUCUCUUCGUAGGCUAAUGCAUUGGCCCUUUUUGACCCGUUUUGGGGCGAAAACAAAAACUGACUCCCGGGCAUAUUUUUUUCGGCCUUUAUGGGCAGAGAACUUUAAUGCCGCUCAGAAUGAGGCCACCCAGUAGUUAGGUGUGAAUUUUCGAGACCUCUGGCACCGUUCUAAGAUGGGUCCUCUCUUCGUAGGCUAAUGCAUUGGCCCUUUUUGACCCGUUUUGGGGCGAAAACAAAAACUGACUCCCGGGCAUAUUUUUUUCGGCCUUUAUGGGCAGAGAACUUUAAUGCCGCUCAGAAUGAGGCCACCCAGUAGUUAGGUGUGAAUUUUCGAGACCUCUGGCACCGUUCUAAGAUGGGUCCUCUCUUCGUAGGCUAAUGCAUUGGCCCUUUUUGACCCGUUUUGGGGCGAAAACAAAAACUGACUCCCGGGCAUAUUUUUUUCGGCCUUUAUGGGCAGAGAACUUUAAUGCCGCUCAGAAUGAGGCCACCCAGUAGUUAGGUGUGAAUUUUCGAGACCUCUGGCACCGUUCUAAGAUGGGUCCUCUCUUCGUAGGCUAAUGCAUUGGCCCUUUUUGACCCGUUUUGGGGCGAAAACAAAAACUGACUCCCGGGCAUAUUUUUUUCGGCCUUUAUGGGCAGAGAACUUUAAUGCCGCUCAGAAUGAGGCCACCCAGUAGUUAGGUGUGAAUUUUCGAGACCUCUGGCACCGUUCUAAGAUGGGUCCUCUCUUCGUAGGCUAAUGCAUUGGCCCUUUUUGACCCGUUUUGGGGCGAAAACAAAAACUGACUCCCGGGCAUAUUUUUUUCGGCCUUUAUGGGCAGAGAACUUUAAUGCCGCUCAGAAUGAGGCCACCCAGUAGUUAGGUGUGAAUUUUCGAGACCUCUGGCACCGUUCUAAGAUGGGUCCUCUCUUCGUAGGCUAAUGCAUUGGCCCUUUUUGACCCGUUUUGGGGCGAAAACAAAAACUGACUCCCGGGCAUAUUUUUUUCGGCCUUUAUGGGCAGAGAACUUUAAUGCCGCUCAGAAUGAGGCCACCCAGUAGUUAGGUGUGAAUUUUCGAGACCUCUGGCACCGUUCUAAGAUGGGUCCUCUCUUCGUAGGCUAAUGCAUUGGCCCUUUUUGACCCGUUUUGGGGCGAAAACAAAAACUGACUCCCGGGCAUAUUUUUUUCGGCCUUUAUGGGCAGAGAACUUUAAUGCCGCUCAGAAUGAGGCCACCCAGUAGUUAGGUGUGAAUUUUCGAGACCUCUGGCACCGUUCUAAGAUGGGUCCUCUCUUCGUAGGCUAAUGCAUUGGCCCUUUUUGACCCGUUUUGGGGCGAAAACAAAAACUGACUCCCGGGCAUAUUUUUUUCGGCCUUUAUGGGCAGAGAACUUUAAUGCCGCUCAGAAUGAGGCCACCCAGUAGUUAGGUGUGAAUUUUCGAGACCUCUGGCACCGUUCUAAGAUGGGUCCUCUCUUCGUAGGCUAAUGCAUUGGCCCUUUUUGACCCGUUUUGGGGCGAAAACAAAAACUGACUCCCGGGCAUAUUUUUUUCGGCCUUUAUGGGCAGAGAACUUUAAUACCGCUCAGAAUGAGGCCACCCAGUAGUUAGGUGUGAAUUUUCGAGACCUCUGGCACCGUUCUAAGAUGGGUCCUCUCUUCGUAGGCUAAUGCAUUGGCCCUUUUUGACCCGUUUUGGGGCGAAAACAAAAACUGACUCCCGGGCAUAUUUUUUUCGGCCUUUAUGGGCAGAGAACUUUAAUGCCGCUCAGAAUGAGGCCACCCAGUAGUUAGGUGUGAAUUUUCGAGACCUCUGGCACCGUUCUAAGAUGGGUCCUCUCUUCGUAGGCUAAUGCAUUGGCCCUUUUUGACCCGUUUUGGGGCGAAAACAAAAACUGACUCCCGGGCAUAUUUUUUUCGGCCUUUAUGGGCAGAGAACUUUAAUACCGCUCAGAAUGAGGCCACCCAGUAGUUAGGUGUGAAUUUUCGAGACCUCUGGCACCGUUCUAAGAUGGGUCCUCUCUUCGUAGGCUAAUGCAUUGGCCCUUUUUGACCCGUUUUGGGGCGAAAACAAAAACUGACUCCCGGGCAUAUUUUUUUCGGCCUUUAUGGGCAGAGAACUUUAAUGCCGCUCAGAAUGAGGCCACCCAGUAGUUAGGUGUGAAUUUUCGAGACCUCUGGCACCGUUCUAAGAUGGGUCCUCUCUUCGUAGGCUAAUGCAUUGGCCCUUUUUGACCCGUUUUGGGGCGAAAACAAAAACUGACUCCCGGGCAUAUUUUUUUCGGCCUUUAUGGGCAGAGAACUUUAAUGCCGCUCAGAAUGAGGCCACCCAGUAGUUAGGUGUGAAUUUUCGAGACCUCUGGCACCGUUCUAAGAUGGGUCCUCUCUUCGUAGGGCUAAUGCAUUGGCCCUUUUUGACCCGUUUUGGGGCGAAAACAAAAACUGACUCCCGGGCAUAUUUUUUUCGGCCUUUAUGGGCAGAGAACUUUAAUACCGCUCAGAAUGAGGCCACCCAGUAGUUAGGUGUGAAUUUUCGAGACCUCUGGCACCGUUCUAAGAUGGGUCCUCUCUUCGUAGGCUAAUGCAUUGGCCCUUUUUGACCCGUUUUGGGGCGAAAACAAAAACUGACUCCCGGGCAUAUUUUUUUCGGCCUUUAUGGGCAGAGAACUUUAAUGCCGCUCAGAAUGAGGCCACCCAGUAGUUAGGUGUGAAUUUUCGAGACCUCUGGCACCGUUCUAAGAUGGGUCCUCUCUUCGUAGGCUAAUGCAUUGGCCCUUUUUGACCCGUUUUGGGGCGAAAACCAAAAACUGACUCCCGGGCAUAUUUUUUUCGGCCUUUAUGGGCAGAGAACUUUAAUACCGCUCAGAAUGAGGCCACCACCCAGUAGUUAGGUGUGAAUUUUCGAGACCUCUGGCACCGUUCUAAGAUGGGUCCUCUCUUCGUAGGCUAAUGCAUUGGCCCUUUUUGACCCGUUUUGGGGCGAAAACAAAAACUGACUCCCGGGCAUAUUUUUUUCGGCCUUUAUGGGCAGAGAAACUUUAAUGCCGCUCAGAAUGAGGCCACCCAGUAGUUAGGUGUGAAUUUUCGAGACCUCUGGCACCGUUCUAAGAUGGGUCCUCUCUUCGUAGGCUAAUGCAUUGGCCCUUUUUGACCCGUUUUGGGGCGAAAACAAAAACUGACUCCCGGGCAUAUUUUUUUCGGCCUUUAUGGGCAGAGAACUUUAAUACCGCUCAGAAUGAGGCCACCCAGUAGUUAGGUGUGAAUUUUCGAGACCUCUGGCACCGUUCUAAGAUGGGUCCUCUCUUCGUAGGCUAAUGCAUUGGCCCUUUUUGACCCGUUUUGGGGCGAAAACAAAAACUGACUCCCGGGCAUAUUUUUUUCGGCCUUUAUGGGCAAAGAACUUUAAUGCCGCUCAGAAUGAGGCCACCCAGUAGUUAGGUGUGAAUUUUCGAGACCUCUGGCACCGUUCUAAGAUGGGUCCUCUCUUCGUAGGCUAAUGCAUUGGCCCUUUUUGACCCGUUUUGGGGCGAAAAACAAAAACUGACUCCCGGGCAUAUUUUUUUCGGCCUUUAUGGGCAAAGAACUUUAAUGCCGCUCAGAAUGAGGCCACCCAGUAGUUAGGUGUGAAUUUUCGAGACCUCUGGCACCGUUCUAAGAUGGGUCCUCUCUUCGUAGGCUAAUGCAUUGGCCCUUUUUGACCCGUUUUGGGGCGAAAACAAAAAACUGACUCCCGGGCAUAUUUUUUUCGGCCUUUAUGGGCAGAGAACUUUAAUGCCGCUCAGAAUGAGGCCACCC